RNAcentral lists this unclassified non-coding RNA (1155 nucleotides) under Hevea brasiliensis (rubber tree). Lineage: Eukaryota; Viridiplantae; Streptophyta; Magnoliopsida; Malpighiales; Euphorbiaceae. The record is from RNAcentral.
UUUUUUUUUUUUUUUUUUUAGAUAUGCGCUUUAAAUACACUUGAAAAGAAGAUAAAGCUAUUCUUCUAAAUUGUGUUUCUUAAAGCCAGUAAAAAAUAGUUUAAUUAUUUUUUUAUUAAUUUUAAGGAAUUAAAAGUGAAAAAAUUCUUGGGUUUAUUUAUUUUUAUAAUAAAAAUAUCUCUUAUUGUAUAAUUUAUAAUUAUUAUUUUAAUUUUUGUUACUUCUAUUAAAAAAAUGCUUUCUAAAUUAUUCUCCUUGUAUUAAAAAAAAAAAAGCUUUCUAAAUAAAAGGAUAAUUGCAGCUUAUUGUGAAUAGAUAUUUUGUUGUGACUUUUUUUUAUCUUUUCCUUAGUCAUGAUUUGUUUUAUUAGACACAUGACUUGACUUACUGUAAUUGCAGAUUACAGUAACGCCAUUUGGAUGUUAGAUUGGAUGGUAUGCUUUUUUUUUUUCAGAGAGUGAGAUUUAAUUUUUAUAUUUAUUAGGUAAAUAAUAUUUUUUUAGCCACUUAAUUAAAUAAGAUUAAGCUGUGAUACAUCGUUUUUAGAUAAGUAAGAACAAUUAGAGUUUCAGGAUCUUUGUGCUGCAAAGGAAGUCCCCUUUGUCCCUACCCAACUGUAGGUAGACAGCUGGGUUAGGUUGUAUAUAAUUUGGGUCUUGUCUGGUUGAGCCAUGGGCGCUGCAUGUUGAUCGAGUCUUAAGGGUUGUUCUGAUUUCUGCUAUGUUUUCUUUGUUGUGUUUUGUAAUUUUUUUUUGCAAGGGUUACCAAGAAAUCAUCACAGUCAGUUUGAUAUUCAGUUUACAUGGCUGAGGAUGAGUCACGGUUUCCUCAUGGUUAGGUGUGAGCCUUUGAAUCACAAGAAGAUCAAGCUUCAUUAGGUGGUUUAGAGGAAGAGAAAAUCCAAAGGUUCAAGUAUUGGUGACUUGUCCUACACUAUUGUCUCCUCCUUCAGCUAAAAUAGAAUGAGAUAUCAAGAGGGCUUUCUCUUUCUUAACAAUGAAAAAAUAUUCUCUCUCACACCUGACAUUAGCAUUCUUUCUCUCUUCCUUUUUGUAACACCCUAAAAUUUUAAAUUUUAUUAUUUUAUGAGUAUUAUUGAUAUUUUAAUUUUAUUUAAAUUUUAAGAAAUUAUUUGAGAUUUUUCGGAUUUUAAAA